GUAGGGGCNAAGCGUUGUCCGGAUUUAUUGGGCGUAAAGAGCUCGUAGGCGGUUGGGUAAGUCGGGUGUGAAAACUCUGGGCUCAACUCAGAGACGCCACCCGAUACUGCUCUGACUUGAGUCCGGUAGGGGAGUGGGGAAUUCCUGGUGUAGCGGUGAAAUGCGCAGAUAUCAGGAGGAACACCGGUGGCGAAGGCGCCACUCUGGGCCGGAACUGACGCUGAGGAGCGAAAGCGUGGGUAGCAAACAGGAUUAGAUACCCUGGUAGUCCACGCCGUAAACGUUGGGCACUAGGUGUGGGUCCUAACCAACGGGGUCCGUGCCGUAGCUAACGCAUUAAGUGCCCCGCCUGGGGAGUACGGCCGCAAGGUUA
This 373-nucleotide ribosomal RNA is filed under the name uncultured bacterium. RNAcentral's name for it is "bacterial SSU rRNA". It matches the Rfam family "Bacterial small subunit ribosomal RNA", at positions 527 to 896 of the family's 1533-position model. The record is from RNAcentral.